Molecule: ribosomal RNA, 463 nt
Filed under: uncultured bacterium
Lineage: Bacteria
Description: partial 16S ribosomal RNA
Rfam family: Bacterial small subunit ribosomal RNA
Source: RNAcentral
GAUGAACGCUGACAGAAUGCUUAACACAUGCAAGUCGAUGGGGAAGUGGUGCUUGCACCAUGGUAACCAUGGCGGACGGGUGAGUAACGCGUAAGGAACUUGCCUGCGGGACUGGGAUAACAGCAGGAAACUGCUGAUAAUACCGGAUAAGGUCAUUAAGCUGCAUAGCUUAGUGAUGAAAGGAGACGCCUGCGGAGAGCCUUGCGUCCUAUUAGCUAGUUGGAGGGGUAACGGCCCACCAAGGCGAAGAUAGGUAGCCGGCCUGAGAGGGUGGACGGCCACCAGGGGACUGAGGAACGGCCCUUAAUCCUAAGGGAGGCAGCAGUGGGGAAUAUUGGAACAUGGGGGCAACCCUGAUCCAGCAAUUCUGUGGGCAAGAAGAAGGGUUUCGGAUUGUAAAGUGCUUUCAGCAGGGAAGAAGGAAGUGACGGUACCUGCAGAAGAAGCGACGGCUAAAUACGUG